GCUUGAUUUGGAUGUGAAUAUCCCUGGCAGCUGCGUGCUAAUAAAGUCCACAAUUUAAAAUUAGCUAAUUUCUGGGUAUAACACUUCAACCUCCUGCUGAGGCAUAAAUGUUGAUAAAGCCAAAGCCUCAGAUAAGGAGAUAAUCUCUAGCCUGUGGGCAGAGCACUUGUUGCCUCAGUGCUUUCUACCCUCCCACUCCCCACCCCUUGAGAACAGCUGAUCUCCCUCCUCACUCAUCCCUGGAGAUGAGCGACUGGCUAAGAGUAUUUAGGUGUCACACAUGGAAAAGAGAGACAGACAGUUUCAACUUCUUGUCCAUCUCUUCUUCCCUUUGAGAAAACCCAGUCCAGGGAUUCCUCAGAGACUGAAUGAUCUGCUUCCCACUGAUAAAGAAGGCCCUCUUUGGGCUUUUCUUCUUGAUACUAACUGUUUCCUCAGGUCUUUCCAGAAAGGAAAGUCAAAUAGACCUGGCCUGGAUAUGAACCCAGAAGUAUCAUAAGUUUUCCCUCUCAUACUUCUGCAUUUCUUUCUCUAGAAGCACCAAAGUGCUUCGAUAUCUUACUAUAUUGUUAUUCUGGCUCGAACAUGAUGCAUCCUCAAGCCACAGAGUUCUUUGUAUAAAUGAUAUCUGAUCGAAACCACAUGUCUUUAUGAUUCUGGCAGCCUGAAUGUAUCAAGUAUUUAAGCCAACCAUCAUACCACUGCACCCAAGAGUACAAUCCUAUCUGUGCCCAGAAUGGUAUAACAUAUAAAAAUGAAUGCAUAUUUUGCAGUGCAAUGAGGCCUGAUGUAUCUAUUCUUCGAUUUAAGCACUUUGGUCGGUGCUGACUCCUUGGGAUUUUAAAGCCUGUGCACUGCCAUGACUUCUAAGGCUUGGUAUAUCCUAUACCAGUCAUGUUCUCCUCACUUGGUACCAGGAAAUUGAUAGUUAUUAAUUCUUUUUUGUCUGAAUAUUGUAAGAAAAAGCAGUGUACUUUGUGCUUAUUUUCACAA
Non-coding RNA from Phascolarctos cinereus (koala), 993 nucleotides. NCBI's taxonomy places the organism in Eukaryota, Metazoa, Chordata, Mammalia, Diprotodontia, Phascolarctidae. The record is from RefSeq and is a predicted model, not a curated record.